Molecule: ribosomal RNA, 244 nt
Filed under: uncultured bacterium
Lineage: Bacteria
Description: partial 16S ribosomal RNA
Rfam family: Bacterial small subunit ribosomal RNA
Source: RNAcentral
UACGAAGGGGGCUAGCGUUGCUCGGAAUCACUGGGCGUAAAGCGCACGUAGGCGGAUCGUUAAGUCGGGGGUGAAAUCCUGGAGCUCAACUCCAGAACUGCCUUCGAUACUGGCGAUCGUUGGAGUCCGGGAGAGGUGAGUGGAACUCCGAGUGUAGAGGUGAAAUUCGUAGAUAUUCGGAAGAACACCAGUGGCGAAGGCGGCUCACUGGCCCGGUACUGACGCUGAGGUGCGAAAGCGUGGG